UCGGGAAUUUUGCUCAAUGGGGGAAACCCUGAAGCAGCAACGCCGCGUGAGGGAUGAAGGCCUUCGGGUUGUAAACCUCUUUUAUCAGGGACGAUGAUGACGGUACCUGAUGAAUAAGCCACGGCUAACUACGUGCCAGCAGCCGCGGUAAUACGUAGGUGGCAAGCGUUGUCCGGAUUUACUGGGCGUAAAGAGCGCGCAGGCGGUCGUUUAAGUCGAAUGUGAAAGCCCCCGGCUCAACUGGGGAGGGUCAUUCGAUACUGAUCGACUUGAAGGCAGGAGAGGGAAGUGGAAUUCCGGGUGUAGUGGUGAAAUGCGUAGAUAUCCGGAGGAACACCAGUGGCGAAGGCGACUUCCUGGCCUGUUCUUGACGCUGAGGCGCGAAAGCUGGGGGGAGCGAAACGGGAUUAGAUACCCCGGUAGUCCCAGCCGUAAACGAUGGACACUAGGUGUUGGUGGUAUCAACCCCGCCAGUGCCGUAGCUAACGCAUUAAGU
This 496-nucleotide ribosomal RNA is filed under the name uncultured bacterium. Its description in RNAcentral is "bacterial SSU rRNA". It matches the Rfam family "Bacterial small subunit ribosomal RNA", at positions 355 to 865 of the family's 1533-position model. The record is from RNAcentral.